This 225-nucleotide ribosomal RNA is filed under the name uncultured bacterium. RNAcentral's name for it is "partial 16S ribosomal RNA". It matches the Rfam family "Bacterial small subunit ribosomal RNA", at positions 109 to 334 of the family's 1533-position model. The record is from RNAcentral.
CGUAACACGUGAGCAACCUGCCUAGGUGUGGGGGAUAGCCGGCCCAACGGCCGGGUAAUACCGCAUACGCUCAACACGAGGCAUUUCGAGUUGAGGAAACCUUCGGGGCACUAUGAGGGGCUCGCGGCCUAUCAGCUAGUUGGUGAGGUAAUGGCUCACCAAGGCUACGACGGGUAGCUGGUCUGAGAGGAUGGCCAGCCACAUUGGGACUGAGACACGGCCCAG